Non-coding RNA from Anas platyrhynchos (mallard), 310 nucleotides. Lineage: Eukaryota; Metazoa; Chordata; Aves; Anseriformes; Anatidae. The record is from RefSeq and is a predicted model, not a curated record.
AAAUGCAGACAACCAGAAUCCUUACAACAAUUAAGUGGAAAUCACGGUGUAAGAAACAUUACCACCUCAAAGAGUAAAAGCCUCAAAAGAAAUGUGACUUGUAACAGGCCAGCAGCUGUGUGUUUUCGGUGAAGCACCAGGUAGAGUAUAAACCUGGAUUGCACAGUUAAUGGGGAAACGGGAGGGUCCUGGUCCUUGGGAGGGAAAAAAAAAGUAUAUAAACUGUGUAUGGAAUCGGUAGGUGCCCUCCUGCUUGCGGGACACCCGCCAUUGUAAUCUCAAAUACAAAUGCUACUGUACUGAGAUCCUC